Molecule: ribosomal RNA, 253 nt
Filed under: uncultured bacterium
Lineage: Bacteria
Description: partial 16S ribosomal RNA
Rfam family: Bacterial small subunit ribosomal RNA
Source: RNAcentral
UACGUAGGGGGCUAGCGUUGUCCGGAAUCAUUGGGCGUAAAGCGCGCGUAGGCGGCCCGGUAAGUCCGCUGUGAAAGUCAAAGGCUCAACCUUUGAAUGUCAGCGGAUACUGCCGGGCUAGAGUCCGGAAGAGGCGAGUGGAACUCCUGGUGUAGCGGUGGAAUGCGCAGAUAUCAGGAGGAACACCUAUUGCGAAGGCAGCUCGCUGGGACGUAACUGACGCUGAGACGCGAAAGCGUGGGGAGCAAACAGG